AAGACUAUAGACCUGCGGAGUACCUGCGGAAGGAUCAUUAUCGUAUUGUAACAAUUGGGGGGGCCACCGUGGGCUGUCGCUGACCCUUUGAAAGGGGGGUCGUGCACGCCCCCAUAGUGUCAUCCUCAUACAAUCCAACUCACCUCUGUGCAUCACCGCGUGGGUUCCUUUCUGGGUCGAGUCAGACUGGCUCAGAAAAAAGGGGCUUGCGUUUUCCAUACAAAUACCCUUAUAUAUCCA
RNAcentral lists this unclassified non-coding RNA (240 nucleotides) under soil metagenome. Its description in RNAcentral is "partial contains 5.8S ribosomal RNA, internal transcribed spacer 2, and large subunit ribosomal RNA". The record is from RNAcentral.